GAUGAAGAACGUAGCGAAAUGCGAUAAGUAAUGUGAAUUGCAGAAUUCAGUGAAUCAUCGAAUCUUUGAACGCAACUUGCGCUCCUUGGCAUUCCGAGGAGCAUGCCUGUUUGAGUGUCAUGAAACUAUCAAGCUACAAAUGUUCUUGUUAGCAUUUGUUGGUUUGGACAUUGGAUGCUUUGCUGGACAAUAUUGUACAGCUCAUCCGAAAUUUAUUAGCUGGUCUAAAUACCUUGGACUAUAUCCACUUGGCGUGAUAAGUAUCACCCGCUGAGGACUUGUUCAUUGGAGGUUGACUGCUUCUAGUAACCCAAUUAUAUUUGAAUCAUCUGACCUCAAAUCAGGUAGGACUACCCGCUGAACUUAAGCAUAUCAAAAGCGGAGGA
Molecule: unclassified non-coding RNA, 386 nt
Filed under: soil metagenome
Description: partial contains 5.8S ribosomal RNA, internal transcribed spacer 2, and large subunit ribosomal RNA
Rfam family: 5.8S ribosomal RNA (bases 1-120)
Source: RNAcentral